GACGAACGCUGGCGGCGUGCUUAACACAUGCAAAUCGAACGGUAAGGCCCUUCGGGGUACACGAGUGGCGAACGGGUGAGUAGCACGUGGGUGAUCUGCCCUGCACUUCGGGAUAAGCCUGGGAAACUGGGUCUAAUACCGGAUAGGACCACUGCCUGCAUGGGUGGUGGUGGAAAGCUUUUGCGGUGUGGGAUGGGCCCGCGGCCUACCAGCUUGUUGGUGGGGGGAUGGCCUACCAAGGCGACGACGGGUAGCCGGCCUGAGAGGGUGACCGGCCACACUGGGACUGAGAUACGGCCCAGACUCCUACGGGAGGCAGCAGUGGGGGAUAUUGCACAAUGGGCGCAAGCCUGAUGCAGCGACGCCGCGUGAGGGAUGACGGCCUUCGGGUUGUGAACCUCUUUCAGCACCGACGAAGCGCAAGUGACGGUAGGUGCAGAAGAAGGACCGGCCGACUACGUGCCAGCCGCCGCUGUAA
RNAcentral lists this ribosomal RNA (478 nucleotides) under uncultured bacterium. Its description in RNAcentral is "partial 16S ribosomal RNA". It matches the Rfam family "Bacterial small subunit ribosomal RNA", at positions 28 to 523 of the family's 1533-position model. The record is from RNAcentral.